UACGGAAGGGGCAAGCGUUGUCCGGAAUCACUGGGCGUAAAGCGCGCGCAGGCGGCGAUCUACGUCUGGGGUGAAAGCCCGGAGCUCAACUCCGGGACUGCCUUGGAUACGGGAUCGCUUGAGGAUUGGAGAGGCAAGGGGAAUUCCACGUGUAGCGGUGAAAUGCGUAGAUAUGUGGAGGAACACCUGUGGCGAAGGCGCCUUGCUGGCCAAUUUCUGACGCUGAGGCGCGAAAGCGUGGGGAGCAAACAGG
RNAcentral lists this ribosomal RNA (253 nucleotides) under uncultured bacterium. RNAcentral describes it as "partial 16S ribosomal RNA". It matches the Rfam family "Bacterial small subunit ribosomal RNA", at positions 524 to 776 of the family's 1533-position model. The record is from RNAcentral.